This is a long non-coding RNA of Rosa chinensis, 1554 nucleotides long. RefSeq lists it as uncharacterized. The record is from RefSeq and is a predicted model, not a curated record. Lineage: Eukaryota; Viridiplantae; Streptophyta; Magnoliopsida; Rosales; Rosaceae. The transcript is spliced from 4 exons.
ACUAAGAGACGUUGCUAUUCAGUAGGUGGUCGUUGGUUAGUGAAGAAAACUGAAACGAAGAACAGAAAAAGCAAUCCUCAGUAAAAACAAAAAUUACGCCGACCAGUGCAUGCACGUGGUUGUUGAGAUCGAUCUUCCCGAGUUCCCAAUUCAAUACCGAAUUCAGCCCACAAAGCUCAAAUUCCGCUCUGCUGAUUGUUUGGAAUUGAAACAAUCGAUGCUUAAUGUUUAUUAAAACAGUUGCUGAUUGUUUGGAAAAUCCAGUGGAUGAUCUUUUUCGUGGGGGAGAAAAUCUUGUAGAAUUAAUCCGGUUUGAACUCAAAGUUGCAGACUUUCUUUCUGACGUUCUAUAUAUAUUCCAACUUUCUAACUGAGCUAGUGUACUACGUAGCAGUGUGGUGAUUUGUUGUUUAUGUUGUUAUAUUCACCGAAUUGAACUGGUUCACACUGGGAGUACUAUGACUCUGCUAGUCUAGGAAAAAAGUAUAAAUUUUUUCCCAUUUUGUUUAGCGAGGUUGUUAGGUUCUCUGGUUAUGCAGAGUUUGCCAAUGAAGUGAAGUUCUGUUAUCCUUAAUAAUGUCAAGGCUCUUGUCUACUUAAUAAUAAAAAAUGUUCCUUUGGUAGACUAAUAGUACGCCUUCCAUAAUUGUCAUGAACUCAUGAUAUUUAGAACCUUGCAUACAAGAAUCAUUUUGUGGUUGCAUGUUAGGUUUUAAUUGAAUUGAGUGUGCGCAUUUUGAUUCUGAAAAUGAUUUUGAGGCUGGUUUGAGCUCAGUUAGUGUGAACUAUGAUUGUGAAAAAUGGAAUCUGACUUCGGUUCAGGUGGUGAUGAUGACGGGUUUUACAUGUUGAUUGUGUUUUCCACAGAGAUUAAAGGACCAAACUCCGCCUCUGCUAAAAGUGAUAAAUGCAAAGUACUCUCUCUUAAAAAGAAGCCAUUAUCAAGUAAAGAAGGACCUGGUGUUAUCCCAAGUGUCAGACAGGAAAGCAGACGACCAAGUCCACGGGAAUUAAAGUCUGUCAGAGGUUUAUGAAGGAGCCACCAACAGAUUUAUUCAGCGAGCUCUAACUUGCACUUGAAGUCCAUCAUAAUGCAAAACCAGAGCUUAAAAGUGCCUAUGCCUGCUAAGGAGUCAUUUGUCUUGUCAGCAGCUUGAUGCCUUUUUGGCAAAUGUUAAGAAACUAAACAACCACGAGCAAAACAAGAGGAGCCACUGCAGAAGGCUGAUGAGAUUUUUGGGACAGAGAAUAUAAGGACGUAUACGUUUUAUUGGAAGGAUUAUCAGUCAUAACGUCUAUAGAACCCUAUAUCCCAUAUUUGAAGGGUUGAUAACUGUCCUGAAACAUUUCAGGAGCCACUGCAGAAGGCUGAUGAGAUUUUUGGGACAGAGAAUAUAAGGACGCAUACGUUAUAUUGGAAGGAUGAUCAGUCAUAACGUCUAUAGAACCCUAUAUCCCAUAUUUGAAGGGUUGAUAACUGUCCGUGUAACUCGUGGCAAUUGAAUUCUGUAAAUUGAAUCCAUUUUUCAUGCAAUUAAAUAUGAAUCUGCAAUA